RNAcentral lists this ribosomal RNA (871 nucleotides) under Salmonella enterica. RNAcentral describes it as "partial 23S ribosomal RNA". It matches the Rfam family "Bacterial large subunit ribosomal RNA", at positions 317 to 1190 of the family's 2925-position model. Lineage: Bacteria; Pseudomonadati; Pseudomonadota; Gammaproteobacteria; Enterobacterales; Enterobacteriaceae. The record is from RNAcentral.
UCAGCAUGUGUGUUAGUGGAAGCGUCUGGAAAGGCGCGCGAUACAGGGUGACAGCCCCGUACACAAAAGCGCAUGUGCUGUGAGCUCGAUGAGUAGGGCGGGACACGUGGUAUCCUGUCUGAAUAUGGGGGGACCAUCCUCCAAGGCUAAAUACUCCUGACUGACCGAUAGUGAACCAGUACCGUGAGGGAAAGGCGAAAAGAACCCCGGCGAGGGGAGUGAAAAAGAACCUGAAACCGUGUACGUACAAGCAGUGGGAGCACAGGUUUACCUGUGUGACUGCGUACCUUUUGUAUAAUGGGUCAGCGACUUAUAUUCUGUAGCAAGGUUAACCGAAUAGGGGAGCCGGAGGGAAACCGAGUCUUAAUUGGGCGUUAAGUUGCAGGGUAUAGACCCGAAACCCGGUGAUCUAGCCAUGGGCAGGUUGAAGGUUGGGUAACACUAACUGGAGGACCGAACCGACUAAUGUUGAAAAAUUAGCGGAUGACCUGUGGCUGGGGGUGAAAGGCCAAUCAAACCGGGAGAUAGCUGGUUCUCCCCGAAAGCUAUUUAGGUAGCGCCUCGUGAAUUCAUCUCCGGGGGUAGAGCACUGUUUCGGCUAGGGGGCCAUCCCGGCUUACCAACCCGAUGCAAACUGCGAAUACCGGAGAAUGUUAUCACGGGAGACACACGGCGGGUGCUAACGUCCGUCGUGAAGAGGGAAACAACCCAGACCGCCAGCUAAGGUCCCAAAGUCAUGGUUAAGUGGGAAACGAUGUGGGAAGGCCCAGACAGCCAGGAUGUUGGCUUAGAAGCAGCCAUCAUUUAAAGAAAGCGUAAUAGCUCACUGGUCGAGUCGGCCUGCGCGGAAGAUGUAACGGGGCUAAACCAU